CAGUAGCCGCGGGAAUACGUAGGGUGCAAGCGUUAAUCGGAAUUACUGGGCGUAAAGCGUGCGCAGGCGGUUAUAUAAGUCAGAUGUGAAAUCCCCGGGCUCAACCUGGGAACUGCAUUUGAGGCUGUAUGGCUAGAGUGUGUCAGAGGGGGGUAGAAUUCCACGUGUAGCAGUGAAAUGCGUAGAUAUGUGGAGGAAUACCGAUGGCGAAGGCAGCCCCCUGGGAUAACACUGACGCUCAUGCACGAAAGCGUGGGGAGCAAACAGGAUUAGAUACCCCUGUAGUCCCUGUCUCUUAUAC
This 301-nucleotide ribosomal RNA is filed under the name uncultured bacterium. Its description in RNAcentral is "partial 16S ribosomal RNA". It matches the Rfam family "Bacterial small subunit ribosomal RNA", at positions 509 to 807 of the family's 1533-position model. The record is from RNAcentral.